This is a non-coding RNA of Trametes cingulata, 114 nucleotides long. The record is from the annotation of a GenBank genome assembly. Lineage: Eukaryota; Fungi; Basidiomycota; Agaricomycetes; Polyporales; Polyporaceae.
GACUACCUGGCGCAAUGGUAGCGCGUUCGGCUUCGAUCGCCGGCCGGCUGCUGACUAAGGCCGUCACGUGACGUGUCAACCGAAAGGCUGCAGGUUCGAGUCCUGCGGUGGUCA